RNAcentral lists this ribosomal RNA (253 nucleotides) under uncultured bacterium. RNAcentral's name for it is "partial 16S ribosomal RNA". It matches the Rfam family "Bacterial small subunit ribosomal RNA", at positions 524 to 776 of the family's 1533-position model. The record is from RNAcentral.
UACGGAGAGGGCUAGCGUUAUUCGGAAUUAUUGGGCGUAAAGGGCGCGUAGGCUGGUUAAUAAGUUAAAAGUGAAAUCCCGAGGCUUAACCUUGGAAUUGCUUUUAAAACUAUUAAUCUAGAGAUUGAAAGAGGAUAGAGGAAUUCCUGAUGUAGAGGUAAAAUUCGUAAAUAUUAGGAGGAACACCAGUGGCGAAGGCGUCUAUCUGGUUCAAAUCUGACUCUGAAGCGCGAAGGCGUGGGGAGCAAACAGG